AUAUAUAUAGUAUAAUUUAUAUUACAAUUAAUUUCCAAUUAAAAAAUUUAAAUAAUUUUAAUAUAUAUA
RNAcentral lists this transfer RNA (69 nucleotides) under Osmia pedicornis. RNAcentral's name for it is "tRNA-Gly". The record is from RNAcentral. Lineage: Eukaryota; Metazoa; Arthropoda; Insecta; Hymenoptera; Megachilidae.